GUUUGGUAGCCAAUUGCUAAAAUGCAUUUUUAUCUUACGCAAGGCAGUAUACCAUAUUUUAUACCGUGGCUCUGAUCCGAAAUCAGGGCAUUUUUGUUCGAACAAAUACCUAUAAUAACGAUGAAGAAGUGCGUGAUCCGCGGAGCAAACGACCUACGUCGGGUCGGGACUGAUAUGCGUGUGACUGUGCACAAGUUCCCACUAAAAAAAGAAGUACAGAGAAAAGUGGAUGAGGGUGUGUGGCAUGACCAAUGAGCCAAGACCACAUGACCACUUAAACUUAACAAGAAGUGCGCACCAUGAUAAGCACAGUCAAAAACGUUUGCGUCUAAAGAACAGUGCUGUGCCGGAUCAGAAUAUUCCGUAUACGCCUUGGGUUGCUGUCGCUGCUCGGUCACCCACAGAUGAAAGUGAUCAAGAAAUGGACAUCACUCAGGUGUGGGAUCACUCGUGGAAGUUCACGGCGGAUACGGAGCCGUGCAUGCAGCUCUGGUUCGAUCCUGCUCAGGGAAGCCCCAAUGACGCCGUGGCGCGCAUCUGGGCUGAGCGGGUGGUGGCGGCCGGUGCGCGGGCGCUGCCGCGUGGCUGGUGGCCGCGGCCCUGGCGGCAGCGGCCCGCUCCUGACCCGGUCGCCCUGUGCCGAGCACAGAGCGCCGACUGAGGUCAGUCUUGUGAUCGAGCUUCCGCGCCGGAGGUGGAACAGGUGGAGCUGGCGGUCACCUGCGCGGGCUCGGCGGCCUGUAAGCCGUGCCGAGACGAACCGCGACACUCUUGCUAGAUCUGCACCCCAUUGUAAUCUUCUGUAGUCGAUAUUCGGUAGGUACUCAAUGCUCAUUUUUCUGAUAUUAGACGAGU
RNAcentral lists this long non-coding RNA (855 nucleotides) under Amphibalanus amphitrite. RNAcentral describes it as "uncharacterized LOC122379914". Lineage: Eukaryota; Metazoa; Arthropoda; Thecostraca; Balanomorpha; Balanidae. The record is from RNAcentral.